RNAcentral lists this ribosomal RNA (473 nucleotides) under Klebsiella pneumoniae. Its description in RNAcentral is "partial 23S ribosomal RNA". It matches the Rfam family "Bacterial large subunit ribosomal RNA", at positions 390 to 867 of the family's 2925-position model. RNAcentral also lists the same sequence under 1 other name. Lineage: Bacteria; Pseudomonadati; Pseudomonadota; Gammaproteobacteria; Enterobacterales; Enterobacteriaceae. The record is from RNAcentral.
GCACAGGCUGUGAACUCGAAGAGUAGGGCGGGACACGUGGUAUCCUGUCUGAAUAUGGGGGGACCAUCCUCCAAGGCUAAAUACUCCUGACUGACCGAUAGUGAACCAGUACCGUGAGGGAAAGGCGAAAAGAACCCCGGCGAGGGGAGUGAAAAAGAACCUGAAACCGUGUACGUACAAGCAGUGGGAGCACCUUCGGGUGUGACUGCGUACCUUUUGUAUAAUGGGUCAGCGACUUAUAUUCUGUAGCAAGGUUAACCGUAUAGGGGAGCCGCAGGGAAACCGAGUCUUAACUGGGCGUUAAGUUGCAGGGUAUAGACCCGAAACCCGGUGAUCUAGCCAUGGGCAGGUUGAAGGUUGGGUAACACUAACUGGAGGACCGAACCGACUAAUGUUGAAAAAUUAGCGGAUGACUUGUGGCUGGGGGUGAAAGGCCAAUCAAACCGGGAGAUAGCUGGUUCUCCCCGAAAGCU